This 431-nucleotide ribosomal RNA is filed under the name uncultured bacterium. RNAcentral's name for it is "partial 16S ribosomal RNA". It matches the Rfam family "Bacterial small subunit ribosomal RNA", at positions 29 to 507 of the family's 1533-position model. The record is from RNAcentral.
AGCGAACGCUGGCGGCAGGCUUAACACAUGCAAGUCGAGCGCCCCGCAAGGGGAGCGGCAGACGGGAGAGUACCACGUGGGAACAUACCUUUUGGUUCGGAACAACUGAGGGAAACUUCAGCUAAUACCGGAUAAGCCCUUACGGGGAAAGAUUUAUCGCCGAAAGAUUGGCCCGCGUCUGAUUAGCUAGUUGGUGAGGUAACGGCUCACCAAGGCGACGAUCAGUAGCUGGUCUGAGAGGAUGAUCAGCCUCACUGGGACUGAGACACGGCCCAGACUCCUACGGGAGGCAGCAGUGGGGAAUAUUGGACAAUGGGGGCAACCCUGAUCCAGCCAUGCCGCGUGAGUGAUGAAGGCCUUAGGGUUGUAAAGCUCUUUUGCCCGGGAAGAUAAUGACGGUACCGGGAGAAUAAGCCCCGGCUAACUUCGUG